RNAcentral lists this ribosomal RNA (474 nucleotides) under uncultured Pseudomonadota bacterium. RNAcentral's name for it is "bacterial SSU rRNA". It matches the Rfam family "Bacterial small subunit ribosomal RNA", at positions 355 to 849 of the family's 1533-position model. Lineage: Bacteria; Pseudomonadati; Pseudomonadota. The record is from RNAcentral.
UGGGGAAUAUUGGACAAUGGGCGCAAGCCUGAUCCAGCCAUGCCGCGUGGGUGAAGAAGGCCCUAGGGUUGUAAACCCCUUUCAGCGGGGAAGAUAAUGACGGUACCCGCAGAAGAAGCCCCGGCUAACUCCGUGCCAGCAGCCGCGGUAAUACGGAGGGGGCUAGCGUUGUUCGGAAUUACUGGGCGUAAAGCGCGCGUAGGCGGACCUGCAAGUCGGGGGUGAAAGCCCGAGGCUCAACCUCGGAACUGCCUUCGAUACUGCGGGUCUCGAGUCCGGGAGAGGUGAGUGGAAUUCCUAGUGUAGAGGUGAAAUUCGUAGAUAUUAGGAAGAACACCAGUGGCGAAGGCGGCUCACUGGCCCGGUACUGACGCUGAGGCGCGAAAGCGUGGGAGCAAACAGGAUUAGAUACCCUGGUAGUCCACGCCGUAAACUAUGGUGCUAGCCGUCGGUCGGCAUGCCGGUCGGUGGCGC